Molecule: microRNA precursor, 89 nt
Filed under: Loxodonta africana (African savanna elephant)
Lineage: Eukaryota; Metazoa; Chordata; Mammalia; Proboscidea; Elephantidae
Description: microRNA 363 (ENSLAFG00000023587.2)
Rfam family: mir-363 microRNA precursor family (bases 6-85)
Source: RNAcentral
GUUUUGCUGUUGUCGGGUGGAUCACGAUGCAAUUUUGAUUAGUAUGAUAGGAGAAAAAUUGCACGGUAUCCAUCUGUAAACCGCAGGAC